UGGGGAAUCUUGCGCAAUGGGCGAAAGCCUGACGCAGCGACGCCGCGUGAGUGAUGAAGGCCUUCGGGUUGUAAAGCUCUGUGGAGGGGGACGAAUAAGUCGGAGCGAACAGCUCCGAUGAUGACGGUACCCUUUUAGCAAGCACCGGCUAACUCUGUGCCAGCAGCCGCGGUAAGACAGAGGGUGCAAACGUUGUUCGGAAUUACUGGGCGUAAAGCGCGUGUAGGCGGCUCUGAUAAGUGAGGUGUGAAAGCCCUGGGCUCAACCCAGGAAGUGCACUUCAAACUAUCGAGCUUGAAUGCUGGAGAGGAAAGCGGAAUUCUCGGUGUAGAGGUGAAAUUCGUAGAUAUCGAGAGGAACACCCGUGGCGAAGGCGGCUUUCUGGACAGCGAUUGACGCUGAGACGCGAAAGCGUGGGGAGCAAACA
RNAcentral lists this ribosomal RNA (427 nucleotides) under uncultured bacterium. Its description in RNAcentral is "bacterial SSU rRNA". It matches the Rfam family "Bacterial small subunit ribosomal RNA", at positions 355 to 774 of the family's 1533-position model. The record is from RNAcentral.